UACGUAGGGUGCGAGCGUUGUCCGGAAUUAUUGGGCGUAAAGAGCUCGUAGGCGGCCUGUUGCGUCGGUUGUGAAAACUCGGGGCUUAACUCCGGGCCUGCAGUGGGUACGGGCAGACUAGAGUGCGGUAGGGGAGACUGGAAUUCCUGGUGUAGCGGUGAAAUGCGCAGAUAUCAGGAGGAACACCGGUGGCGAAGGCGGGUCUCUGGGCCGUAACUGACGCUGAGGAGCGAAAGCGUGGGGAGCGAACAGG
Molecule: ribosomal RNA, 253 nt
Filed under: uncultured bacterium
Lineage: Bacteria
Description: partial 16S ribosomal RNA
Rfam family: Bacterial small subunit ribosomal RNA
Source: RNAcentral